AAUGGCUCACCAAGGCGACGAUCCGUAACUGGUCUGAGAGGAUGAUCANUCACACUGGAACUGAGACACGGUCCAGACUCCUACGGGAGGCAGCAGUGGGGAAUAUUGGACAAUGGGCGAAAGCCUGAUCCAGCCAUGCCGCGUGUGUGAAGAAGGUCUUCGGAUUGUAAAGCACUUUAAGUUGGGAGGAAGGGCAGUUACCUAAUACGUGAUUGUUUUGACGUUACCGACAGAAUAAGCACCGGCUAACUCUGUGCCAGCAGCCGCGGUAAUACAGAGGGUGCAAGCGUUAAUCGGAAUUACUGGGCGUAAAGCGCGCGUAGGUGGUUUGUUAAGUUGGAUGUGAAAUCCCCGGGCUCAACCUGGGAACUGCAUUCAAAACUGACUGACUAGAGUAUGGUAGAGGGUGGUGGAAUUUCCUGUGUAGCGGUGAAAUGCGUANAUAUAGGAAGGAACACCAGUGGCGAAGGCGACCACCUGGACUGAUACUGACACUGAGGUGCGAAAGCGUGGGGAGCAAACAGGAUUANAUNCCUGGUA
Molecule: ribosomal RNA, 540 nt
Filed under: Pseudomonas sp.
Lineage: Bacteria; Pseudomonadati; Pseudomonadota; Gammaproteobacteria; Pseudomonadales; Pseudomonadaceae
Description: bacterial SSU rRNA
Rfam family: Bacterial small subunit ribosomal RNA
Source: RNAcentral